AUUGAACGCUGGCGGCAGGCCUAACACAUGCAAGUCGAGCGGCAGCGGGAAAGUAGCUUGCUACUUUUGCCGGCGAGCGGCGGACGGGUGAGUAAUGCCUGGGAAAUUGCCCAGUCGAGGGGGAUAACAGUUGGAAACGACUGCUAAUACCGCAUACGCCCUACGGGGGAAAGCAGGGGACCUUCGGGCCUUGCGCGAUUGGAUAUGCCCAGGUGGGAUUAGCUAGUUGGUGAGGUAAUGGCUCACCAAGGCGACGAUCCCUAGCUGGUCUGAGAGGAUGAUCAGCCACACUGGAACUGAGACACGGUCCAGACUCCUACGGGAGGCAGCAGUGGGGAAUAUUGCACAAUGGGGGAAACCCUGAUGCAGCCAUGCCGCGUGUGUGAAGAAGGCCUUCGGGUUGUAAAGCACUUUCAGCGAGGAGGAAAGGUUGAUGCCUAAUACGUAUCAACUGUGACGUUACUCGCAGAAGAAGCACCGGCUAACUCCGUGCCAGCCGCCGCGGUAA
RNAcentral lists this ribosomal RNA (508 nucleotides) under uncultured bacterium. RNAcentral's name for it is "partial 16S ribosomal RNA". It matches the Rfam family "Bacterial small subunit ribosomal RNA", at positions 30 to 523 of the family's 1533-position model. The record is from RNAcentral.